Molecule: long non-coding RNA, 467 nt
Organism: Helianthus annuus (common sunflower)
Lineage: Eukaryota; Viridiplantae; Streptophyta; Magnoliopsida; Asterales; Asteraceae
Exons: 3
Source: RefSeq, a predicted model, not a curated record
CUUCCAAGAUAAACAUUCAAAAUUUUCACUCUCUCUCUUCCCUUGUUCAUUCACGGCCGAACACCUCUUCCCACUUCAACAUUUCAUUUUCAAAACCAAAACAUGAAGAUUCAAGGGCUAAUCAAGGUGAUUCCAAGCUUGUAAGAAGGUUUGGGAGUGAUUUCAAGCAAGAACAAGACCCAUAUCACCAUCUUCUAUCAAAAACCCAUCUAAUAAGGACGUGUAGAAAUCAAUCUCUGGAAUUGCGCUAUUUAAAAUACGCACCCAAAGGUACUUGAGUUCGGCUUCGGGAAAAUCAUGGCGUAUCUUGCGUUUGAUGAUGCAUGUUGUUUUGUUUAAAUAUGUUGGACAACUUUUAAACUAUCUGGGACUUUUGUAAUAAGAUCCGCGAGGAUCAAAACAACUUAACUUAUGUGGUUGUGUCGUAACCUUUAAAAUGUAAUGUUUAAUAAUUAUGUUUUAAAACA